GAUGAACGCUGGCGGCGUGCUUAACACAUGCAAGUCGAACGAAGCACCUUGAUUCGAUUCUUCGGAUGAAGAUCUUGGUGACUGAGUGGCGGACGGGUGAGUAACGCGUGGGUAACCUGCCUCAUACAGGGGGAUAACAGUUAGAAAUGACUGCUAAUACCGCAUAAGACCACAGCACCGCAUGGUGCAGGGGUAAAAACUCCGGUGGUAUGAGAUGGACCCGCGUCUGAUUAGGUAGUUGGUGGGGUAACGGCCUACCAAGCCGACGAUCAGUAGCCGACCUGAUAGGGUGACCGGCCACAUUGGGACUGAGACACGGCCCAAACUCCUACGGGAGGCAGCAGUGGGGAAUAUUGCACAAUGGGGGAAACCCUGAUGCAGCGACGCCGCGUGAGCGAUGAAGUAUUUCGGUAUGUAAAGCUCUAUCAGCAGGGAAGAAAAUGACGGUACCUGACGAAGAAGCACCGGCUAAAUACGUG
RNAcentral lists this ribosomal RNA (479 nucleotides) under uncultured bacterium. RNAcentral describes it as "partial 16S ribosomal RNA". It matches the Rfam family "Bacterial small subunit ribosomal RNA", at positions 28 to 507 of the family's 1533-position model. The record is from RNAcentral.